Long non-coding RNA from Lolium perenne, 2277 nucleotides. RefSeq lists it as uncharacterized. Lineage: Eukaryota; Viridiplantae; Streptophyta; Magnoliopsida; Poales; Poaceae. The record is from RefSeq and is a predicted model, not a curated record.
UUGAGACGAUUUCGAAGACGUUUUACAGGUCGUCUCGGCGUGACAAGAUUCACCAUUCCCACUCCUUACAAAAAAACUCUAGGCUACCUCUACAAUCUCUCUCUCCCGUCUCUUACUGUGGAAACCUACCGCUAAAAUAAAAAGUGGAAACCUAGCGCCGCCACUAGAUCCCCUGGCGGUGUCUCUCCGGCGAAAUCGGCGCAGCGACUGGCGGCGCCUCUACUCCCCUCGCCGGUACAAGAUCUUCCUCCACUCUUGAACGCUGGUGCCGUGCUACAAAAAGACUCGAUCCAGCCCGUACUCGUGUGGCGGUGCCCUCUCCCAUGCUGCUGCGGCAUUGUCCUAGUUCCCCCACUGUCCCGCACCUGCCCAUGGCGCGUUGCAGAGUUGCAGCCAACCAACUCCAUGGAGUCGUGGCUCCACAGCCACAAAGGUAUGUUCAUGUACUACUAAUCUAAUCUCAGCUUGUGUCUUUUCUAAACCGAGCCUGCAUCUAUCUAAUUGGUAUGUCUCUGCAGUCACUCGAAUAACCCUUGUAAGAUGCCAGGAAAUGAGUAUUUCUUCCUUUUUCGUUCAAUCAAUCUAGCUAAUAGUUUUAUUCAUAUGGUCUGAACACAAACAGGCAAAAAAAACGUGAUAUUAUCAUCACUCAACCUAGUGCUAGAUUGGAGCGUACAGUCUGCAGGUAAUCGUGGAUAAAUGUGUCAGCUAAUUAAUCCUUGGAACUUGUCAAUUUCAUGAUAUAAGCAUGAACAAACGGAACUUGUUGAUAUCUUGAACUAAUUCAAUGUUGGAUUAGGUGGCCCCAGACUUAUAUUAAAAUUUUCCAUUUUGGUAUGCAAAUAUAUUGUUGAACUUCCACCAAUGAGAUUUUUGAGUACUUGUCAUUCAUUUGUAGUCCAUAGAAAGUACUCACCGAAAGUGAUUUACUUAGACUAAGUGGAUUUACUGGUAUUUUACUAACGUCGAACUAGUUCUAUAUUUUAAGGAAUGCCUAUAUGAAGCUUGUGUAACCUUCCAAUUAAGUGCACCAUGCAGAAAUUGACUACAACUACAGUCUAUUCAACCAAUUGACUACAUCUACAGUCUAUUCAACCAAUUGACUACAUCUACAGUCUAUUCAAGCAGCAUAGUGAUGGCCAUAUCUUUAUCUAGCAUUUUCAGGUUAAUUUAGCCUUGACCUUGCUUCAGUUCUUCAUGUCUUAUUGAGAUGUAAGUUACAUCGCUUAUGUAAUCGAAACCAAUUAGUAUGCUUGUGGAUAUAUUAUAUAGCUCACGUUCUUCCGUACCUUUCAUCCUUUUUUUCCCUUACGUUGUCUCUAAUCAAUGCCACUAGCCUUGUUUCUUGAUAGACUUCCAAAUAAAAUUAAUUAAAGCUUCAAAUUGUACUACCCAGUAGAGAAAUUGAUAUAGUUCUGAAGAUGCAUCAUAAUAAUGUUUCUUCAUCAGGUUGUAUGUACUUGUUUCUUAACGCUAGUAAUAAAUCAGUGUUACUGCAUCCUGCAUCACUUAAUAAGAAAUUCAUGUUGCUGCAUUGCUUGAUACAAAGAGACCACUGUGUAAACCUUAUGGAUAUAUUAUAUAGCUCAGGUUCUUCGGUGCCCUUCAUCAUUUUUACCUUAUUGUCUCCAAUCAAUGUCACUAACCCUUUUUUCCUCAUAGGCUUCAACUAAAUGCAUCAACGGUUCAAAUUGUACUACCCAGAAGUGAAGGUUCUUAAGAUGCAUCAUAAGGAUUAGCAUGCUGCAAGUUUGGAGCCUUCUGUUUUCAACAGUUGAUAACAUAUUUUGUAAUAGCACGCUGCAAGUUCUUGCAAAAUAUUACCCACUAUUGUUUUCCAUAUUUUGUCUUUAUUUUUUUGUAUUCUCUAACCUUAGUUAAAUUGUUCUAUGUAGGGUUAUGAUCAUUUCUAGUUACCCCUGAUGAUAAGAAGGUGCAUAUUUUGGCAAAUGUUGAACAAUCACUAACAGUACUGCAAAUGGUUAGAAUUUUAAUGAAGCGCACUAUAAAAGACCACAAGGGAUGUUGCAGUGAAGACCUGUCGGUGUUGAAGUACAUGCAAAACUUUAGAUAGAUUCCAGCUACUUAGAAGUACAUGAGUACUGGCGUUCUUUUAUUCUUCCCCCUCGUUCAUAUGUAUAGAUAGAUUCUAGCUACUUAGAAAGUUAGAAGUACAUGUGUACGGAAGUUGUUUUUAUUCUUGCCCCUCGUUUAUAUGUAUGUACACUUAAGUUGUAAAGUACGAUUUUCCUUGGUUAAUAUAUUUAUUUACUGAAA